This is an RNA transcript of Cuculus canorus (common cuckoo), 10342 nucleotides long. It is a transcript of the gene named dedicator of cytokinesis 9, with no coding region annotated. NCBI's taxonomy places the organism in Eukaryota, Metazoa, Chordata, Aves, Cuculiformes, Cuculidae. The record is from RefSeq and is a predicted model, not a curated record. The transcript is spliced from 55 exons.
CUUUGUGGCUGGCAGCAGAAACUGCAGCAAUAUCUUUGCAGUUUCCUUUCAUCUUUGAUUAUGUUCCAAGGAUCUCUGAAAUACAGGAGCGCUUUCCCUGACCCUCUGGAAUGCCUUUUCAUCUCUGUUGCGGAAUAUAGCACAUGCUGAAAGCCUUCUGUCUCCUAGAGUUUAGGUAUCCUUUGCUUUUCGUCACCCUCUGAUUUUUGUUGUUCUUUGGCUGGAUUUUUGGCAGCGCAUGGCUUAGGCAAAUAGGAUUACAUCUCAGUAGCUGAUGGUUUUUAGUCGAGGAACAUACUAAAUGUCGGACAUAAUGAAGAUUGUACGAGGAAGUAUUUCUGCAAACCACAGGAAAAUGAUUCGAGUCGAGCAAAGGAAGAUGGCAUUCUGUAAAUGCAAUCAGGGCUGCUAGAAAUGCAAAAUUCAACGGAUUUGGAAUGGGUUGCACUACAAGCGUGGUUCUGUUUAAAGGCAUUCGUACAGUUUUUGAGAGAAACUGUGGUUAUAUUUGCAAACAGCAAGGGGAAAACAAUGCCCUUGAAUACACAGCAUUCAGCCUGCCAAAUGAAGAUUCAGGAAUAUUGAUUCAUUCAUCCCUGGCAAAACCAAAGCUCAUAGAACCAAUAGACUAUGAAAAUGUGAUCGUUCAGAGGAAGACACAGAUUUUGAAUGAUGGCUUACGUGAGAUGCUACUGUUCCCUUAUGAUGACUUUCAGACAGCCUUAUUGAAACGGCAGAGUCGAUAUGUUCAUUCAACGGUUCCUGAAAAUGCGGAGAAGGAAGCUCAGAGCUUGUUUGUAACUGAGUGCAUCAAAACCUACAAUUCAGACUGGCAUGUUGUUAACUACAGAUAUGAAGAUUACUCAGGAGAGUUUCGACAGCUUCCAAGUAAAGGGCCAAAAUCGGAGAAGCUUCCAGUUCAUUUAUAUGAAGUAGAUGAAGAAGCAGAUAAAGAUGAGGAUGCAGCAUCUCUUGGGUCUCAGAAGGGUGGAAUAACAAAACAAGGAUGGCUGUACAAAGGCAACAUGAAUAGUGCAAUCAGUGUGACAAUGAGAUCAUUUAAAAGAAGAUUUUUCCACUUAAUCCAACUUGGUGAUGGAUCCUAUAAUCUCAAUUUCUAUAAAGAUGAAAAAAUAUCAAAAGAACCUAAAGGAUCAAUAUUUUUAGAUUCCUGUAUGGGAGUGGUUCAGAACAAUAGAGUCAGACGUUUUGCAUUUGAGCUGAAGAUGCAAGACAAGAGUAGUUACCUUUUAGCUGCAGAUAGUGAACUUGAAAUGGAAGAAUGGAUAAACACUCUGAACAAAAUCCUCCAGCUUAACUUUGAGGCUGCAAUGCAAGAAAAGAGAAAUGGAGAGUCUCAUGAAGAUGAUGAACAAAGCAGAAGUGAAAGCUUAUCAAGUAGUUUUGAUAACUACUAUCCUGAAAUUGCCAAGAGUACCCGAGAAGCAGAGAUCAAGUUGAAAAGUGAAAGCAGAGUUAAACUUUUUGCUUUGGAUCCAGAUGCACAGAAACUUGACUUUUCUAGUAUUGAACCAGAUGUGAAGCCAUUUGAAGAGAAAUUUGGAAAAAAAAUUCUUGUGAAGUGUAACGAUUUAUCUUUUAAUUUGCAAUGCUGUGUUGCAGAAAAUGAAGAAGGACCAACAACAAAUGUAGAACCUUUCUUUGUUACAUUAUCACUGUUUGAUAUAAAAAACAACCGGAAGAUUUCAGCAGAUUUCCAUGUUGAUUUGAACCACACCUCAGUAAGGCACAUGCUGUCCAGUGCACCUCAGCAAAUGAUGAACGGCAGUGGUGAUACCUUACACAGAAUUCAAGAUCUUCAUGAAACUCUGUUACAAUACCCAAAGCAGGGAAUAUUCUCAGUCACAUGUCCUCAUACAGACAUAUUCCUUGUGGCUAGGAUAGAGAAAGUAUUACAGGGAAGUAUUACACACUGUGCUGAACCAUAUAUGAAAAGCUCAGAUUCUUCAAAGACCGCACAGAAAGUUUUGAAGAAUGCUAAGCAGGCGUGCCAGAGGCUAGGUCAAUACAGAAUGCCUUUUGCCUGGGCAGCGAGGACACUGUUUAAGGAUGCUUCAGGAACCCUGGACAAAAAUGCAAGAUUUUCUCCUCUUUUCAGACAAGACAGUAAUAAACUUUCAAAUGAAGACAUGCUGAAACUGUUAGCAGAUUUCAGGAAACCUGAAAAGAUGGCCAAACUUCCUGUUAUUUUAGGAAAUCUGGAUGUUACGAUUGAUAAUGUGUCACCAGAUUUUCCAAAUUAUGUUAACUCCUCAUACAUUCCCAUGAAACAGUUUGAAAACAGUACCAAGACAUCAGUAGCAUUUGAAAUAGAGGAAUUUGUCCCCUGUAUACCAAGACAUACACAGCCUUUCACCAUCUACAACAAUCAUCUUUACGUUUAUCCAAAGUACUUGAAAUAUGACGGUCAAAAGUCUUUUGCGAAGGCUAGAAAUAUUGCAGUAUGCAUUGAGUUCAAGGACUCUGAUGAAGAGGAUUCUUUGCCUUUAAAGUGUAUCUAUGGCAGGCCAGGUGGACCAGUAUUUACUAGAAGUGCAUUUGCUGCUGUUCUGCAUCACCAUCAAAAUCCAGAGUUUUAUGAUGAGAUUAAAAUAGAAUUGCCCACUCAGUUACAUGAAAAGCACCAUUUGUUGUUCACCUUCUACCAUGUCAGCUGUGAUAGCUCAAGCAAAGGGAGUACAAAGAAGAAAGAUGUUGUUGAAACACAAGUUGGGUAUUCUUGGCUUCCUCUAAUAAAAGAUGGAAGAGUGGUGACCAACGAGCAACAGAUCCCAGUGUCAGCAAAUCUUCCAUCAGGCUAUCUUAGUUAUCAAGAAGUGGUGACUGGAAAGCAUUCUGGUCCUGAAAUUAAAUGGGUAGAUGGAGGCAAACAACUACUAAAAAUAUCCACUCAUCUGGUGUCAACUGUGUAUACGCAGGACCAGCACUUGCAUAAUUUUUUUGAGUACUGUCAGAAAACAGAGUCUGGAGCUCGUGCGCUAGGAACUGAUCUUGUAAAAUAUCUUAAGAGCCUUCAUGCUAUGGAGGGCCAUGUGAUGAUAGCUUUCCUGCCAACUGUCCUAAACCAGUUGUUCAGAGUUCUCACUAGAGCUACUCAAGAGGAAGUUGCAGUCAAUGUGACGAGGGUUAUUAUCCAUAUUGUUGCUCAGUGUCAUGAAGAAGGCUUGGAUAGCUACCUGAGGUCUUAUGUCAAGUAUGCAUAUAAAGCUGAACCUUAUGUUGCUUCUGAAUAUAAGACGGUACAUGAAGAAUUGACAAAGUCCAUGACAACAAUUUUAAAGCCAUCUGCUGAUUUUCUCACAAGCAACAAGCUCUUGAAGUAUUCAUGGUUUUUCUUUGAAGUUCUGAUAAAAUCCAUGGCUCAGCAUUUGAUAGAAAACUCUAAAGUGAAGCUGUUGCGAAACCAGAGAUUUUCUGCUUCCUUUCAUCAUGCAGUUGAAACAGUUGUUAAUAUGCUAAUGCCACACAUCACUCAGAAGUACAGAGACAAUCCAGAGGCUUCAAAAAAUGCAAACCAUAGCCUUGCUGCCUUUAUAAAAAGGUGCUUUACUUUUAUGGACAGAGGCUUUGUUUUCAAGCAAAUCAAUAACUACAUCAGCUGCUUUGCACCGGGAGAUCCAAAGACUCUCUUUGAAUUCAAAUUUGAAUUUCUCCGUGUAGUCUGUAAUCAUGAGCACUACAUUCCUUUGAAUCUACCAAUGUCAUUUGGAAAAGGCAGAGUUCAGAGAUACCAAGACCUUCAGUUGGACUAUUCGUUAACCGAUGAGUUCUGUAAAAAUCACUUCUUAGUGGGAUUGCUUCUAAGGGAGGUGGGCAAUGCCUUACAAGAGUUCAGAGACGUGCGGCAGAUUGCUAUUACUGUGCUCAAGAAUUUGAUGAUAAAGCAUUCUUUUGAUGAUAGAUAUGUUUCCAAGGCCCAUCAAGCAAGAAUAGCCACUAUGUAUUUGCCACUCUUUGGACUGCUCAUAGAAAACGUUCAGCGAAUCAAUGUUAAAGAAGUGUCUCCAUUUCCUGUUAACCUUUCCAGCAAUAAUGCAAAGGAUGAUGCACUUAAUUUGCCAACUGCAAGUCAACUAGUCACACCACAAAAAUCAGGAAACACAUUGGAUAACAAUCUCCCUAAAGAUCUGUUUGGUGUUAUCUCUGGCAUUGCUUCCCCAUACACCACAUCAACUCCAAAUAUCAAUAGCGUGAGGAAUGCUGACUCAAGAGGCUCUCUUAUAAGUACAGACUCAGGAAACAGUCUCACAGAAAGACACAUUGAGAAGAGCAAUUCUCUCGACAAGAGAGAGAAGCUUCUCAGAAGGCACUCUGCUCAUGCUAUGCGCACUAAUGGAGAAGAAGAAGAAAAUUCUCACCCCGUAAAGAAAAACCGUGUCACUAUGGAUUUUUCACUUCUGACAAUACCGGCUUUGCCAGAGAAAAUUUUGCACGCUGCUUUCUCUCUUCAGUUACAAGAAAACCAACAGGGCAGCACUUUAGGAAGUUCUGUAGUUCGAUACGACAAACUUGACCAAGCAGAGAUCAAAAGUCUGCUCAUGUGUUUCCUUUAUAUUUUGAGAAGUAUGUCGGAUGAUGUAUUGCUUACAUAUUGGAACAAGGCUACAAAAUCUGAACUCAUGGAUUUUUUCACAAUUACAGAAGUGUGCUUACAUCAGUUCCAGUACAUGGGAAAACGAUACAUAGCAAGGAACCAGGAGGGGUUAGGAUCCAUAGUUCAUGAUCGAAAAUCUCAGACAUUGCCUGUUUCCCGUAACAGAACAGGAAUGAUGCAUGCCAGAUUACAGCAGCUGAGCAGCCUGGAUAACUCUCUCACUUUUAACCACAGCUAUGGCCAUUCAGACGCAGAUGUUCUUCACCAGUCUUUACUUGAAGCAAAUAUUGCCACUGAAGUUUGCCUUAUUAUUCUGGAUACUCUAUCAUUAUUCACAGUAGCUUUUAAGAAUCAACUACUGACUGAUCAUGGGCAUAAUCCACUGAUGAAGAAAGUGUUUGAUGUAUAUGUCUGCUUCCUUCAAAAGAAUCAGUCUGAAACAGCAUUGAAAAAUGUCUUCGUUGCUCUAAAGACACUUAUUUAUAAGUUUCCUUCUACAUUUUAUGAAGGUAGAGCUGAUAUGUGUUCUGCACUGUGCUAUGAAAUCCUGAAGUACUGUAAUUCUAAACUGAGCUCAAUUCGUACUGAAGCUUCACAGUUACUGUACUCCUUAAUGAGAACUAACUUUGAUUACACAGGGAAGAAGUCUUUUGUCAGGACACAUCUGCAAGUUAUUAUUUCAGUGAGCCAGUUAAUUGCUGAUGUUGUUGGAAUUGGAGGAACUAGAUUUCAGCAGUCUCUUUCCAUCAUCAAUAAUUGUGCCAAUAGUGACAAAAUGAUAAAGCACACUACAUUUCCUUCUGAUGUGAAGGAUUUAACAAAACGGAUUCGUACAGUACUGAUGGCUACAGCUCAGAUGAAAGAGCAUGAGAAUGAUCCAGAAAUGCUUGUAGACCUCCAGUACAGUUUGGCAAAGUCUUACGCGAGUACACCUGAGCUGAGGAAGACGUGGUUAGACAGCAUGGCAAGGAUCCAUGUUAAAAACGGAGAUCUUUCUGAGGCAGCAAUGUGCUAUGUCCAUGUAGCAGCACUGGUUGCAGAAUAUCUCACACGAAAAGGGAUGUUCAGGCAAGGUUGUACUGCUUUCAGAGUAAUCACACCUAAUAUAGAUGAAGAGGCUUCAAUGAUGGAGGAUGUUGGAAUGCAGGAUGUUCACUUCAAUGAAGAUGUGCUGAUGGAAUUGUUGGAGCAGUGUGCUGAUGGACUCUGGAAGGCUGAACGUUAUGAACUCAUUGCUGACAUAUAUAAACUUAUAAUUCCCAUUUAUGAAAAACGGCGAGAUUUUGAGAGGCUUGCUCAUUUGUAUGACACUCUUCAUCGAGCAUACAGUAAAGUAACAGAAGUUAUGCAUACAGGCAAAAGACUGCUGGGAACUUAUUUCAGGGUAGCGUUCUUUGGGCAGGGUUUCUUUGAGGAUGAAGAUGGGAAGGAGUAUAUCUAUAAAGAACCUAAACUAACGCCUCUCUCAGAAAUUUCCCAAAGACUUCAAAAACUCUACUCUGACAAAUUUGGAUCUGAAAACGUCAAAAUGAUUCAGGAUUCUGGCAGAGUAAAUCCUAAGGAUUUAGAUUCAAAAUAUGCAUAUAUUCAAGUUACACAUGUAGUCCCAUACUUUGAAGAAAAAGAGUUGCAAGAAAGAAAGACAGAUUUUGAAAGGACUCAUAACAUUCGUCGCUUUAUGUUUGAGAUGCCUUUUACUCAAGCUGGUAAGAGACAAGGAGGAGUAGAAGAACAGUGUAAGCGACGGACAAUUUUGACAGCUAUACAUUGUUUCCCAUAUGUGAAAAAGCGCAUUCCAGUAAUGUACCAGCAUCACACCGAUUUAAACCCAAUUGAAGUAGCCAUCGAUGAAAUGAGUAAAAAGGUUGCAGAACUUAGGCAGCUUUGCUCUUCAGCUGAAGUAGAUAUGAUCAAAUUGCAGCUGAAGCUACAAGGAAGUGUCAGUGUUCAGGUUAAUGCUGGUCCAUUAGCAUACGCAAGAGCUUUCUUAGAUGACACAAACACCAAAAGAUAUCCAGACAAUAAAGUAAAGUUACUAAAGGAAGUUUUUAGGCAAUUUGUUGAAGCUUGUGGGCAUGCUCUGGGUGUAAAUGAACGACUUAUAAAGGAAGAUCAGUUGGAAUAUCAAGAGGAAAUGAAGGCUAACUACAGAGAAAUGGCAAAAGAGCUUUCUGAAAUAAUGCAUGAGCAAAUGCUUUCGUGAACUUCAUAACUGUGUCUUCCUCAUUAAGAAAGUAAAUCUGGUUGGCACCAGCCUGUUGUUUUUUGUAGGAGAGGAAGACUACGGUAAAGAUGAAACAAAUGUAAUGACAUUAACUAUGUCAUUUAUACUUCAUAUAUGUGCUUACAGGGGUCUCUGUUUAUUCAGUGACUGAAAAAGUACAUUUUAGUCCAUACUUUCUGGUAACUGUAGGAGUAUUUGGUCUACAAGCUUAAUGCUUUUUCUUUAGAUUUUGGAGGUAUAGACAUUUAGUUUUGCAACAGAGAGUUAAACGUCUUUCAGGAGGUAUUCCAACAUGUUUUCUUGAGGGGAAUCCACUACAGGCAAGCUGGAGGUAUGGGAGAAUCAAAACCAGAAGUCUUGUGGAGUAAGAUGUAGGACCUUGCAUCUGGGGUCUCUGGUAGAAAUGUCUCCCGACUUCAUAGGCAAGGGUAUUAUUUCCAGGAAGACACGGAAGGGCUGUAGAGUUAUGCUUGAUCCCUGCCUUCAUGACAUUUUUAUUCAUCAUAUUCAUUGCUUUAGAUUCCCAGAUCCAUAGAGUGGGUCAUAGUUCUUAAACCGGAAGACCUGUUUUUCUGGCCCACAAGAAACAACUGUGUGUUCUGAUAUUUUACCUUACAAAUACAUGUCUAUGAUACUUCCCUAGAUAUAUGACUAUAGUAGCAACUUUUAUUAGGUUAGAAACUGAUGCAUCUUGGUAUGAAUGACAACUGAUGUAAAGAGUAGCUCCGAGUUCUCUUGUCUGUAUGAAAACCACAGGCUUUACUCAGAAAUCAAAUUGUACAGGAAAAAUCAAACCUGUGGCCUGUCCAGCUGUCACUUAAGGGCUCUGUUAAUCUUCCAGCUUUUUUUCAGGAUUGCAUCCAUUAGAUGUGCAAUGACUUUACCCAUUUACUGGUUUUGAUGUCUCUAAAUUACUCUAUUGUUAUCCAAGAAAUACUUGCUCAAAAAACUAGUCGGCUUGCUGGUAUAACAGCUUAGCCCUGGGCUUAUUGAAGAAAGAUUUGCCUUUGUUCUACACUUGCUUAGAGGGUAUCCGGAACUUUUAUGGUGAUAUUUUUUCUGUUGAAAAAUAUUGAGUGUCUAAGCUUCACUUCACAUGCUUGCUGGCUCUCUGUUAUUUCCUGAUAUGGUUUUCUCAGGUACUGUGCUAUGAUAAGCUUUGUGCUGUGAUAUAAUUGGGUGAAGCAUGAGAAUACAGCAAGUAAAGGCAUUAUUUGCAUUCUUUUCUCUUGUUAUGCUAUCACAGGGAAAAGCUGACCACAAAACUAACGCUUUUUUCACUGCUAGUGAUAGAGAAGUUCAUGAAACAAGACCUGUGGGAAGUGAUACUGUUUUGUCAGAAUCAAUGUGUUGGGUAUUUUUUAAUAAAAAACAGUAACUUUCAGAUAUGCCUGUAGAGGAAAACAGUUUUGAAAGACCCCUGGAACAGGAAAAGAGACUGCUUAGCUGACAAAAAUGAGACAGUUUGACUGUAUUUCAGUGGGAUUUAUUGAAAAGCAGAAAGCCGUGGAGGGUUUUAGAAAGGAAGAUAACUGACUGGACAACUGAGUAAGGUGAACAAGGUGCAUGGGAGAAUUAGGUGUACAGAAGACCCCUUUGGAAAAAGUAAAUAUUUUGGUCAGAUAAUUUAAUGACAAAAAAUGAAAGAUCAGUAUUCCCCUGACAUAGGAAAAAGUAAAAGGAUAUAGAGAGAGUUUGUACACAAGCAAAAAAUACUUGGAACACAGUGCAGGAUAUGUAUAUUUAAAAAAUGCUCAAGUGUGUGUUUCCAAAAACUGAUGAUAGAAAAAAGCAUGGAAUGCCUGAAACUUCAGGAGUAAAAUAACAUUGUAUAGAAGUAAAGAAGGAGAGGCAAACAACUGAUCCCCAUAAGAUAGUGUGAACAAGAUAUGUACAAAAGUUCUGCAGCAAUCUGUACUAGUAGCCUACCACUGCAUGCUUUUUAUACAAAUGUAAUUAGCUGUAAAUAAUUGAAACACGUUAUGUUGUUGGCUUGUUUGGCAUUUUUUGGUUGUUUUGUAAUAGAUUGAUCACUCCCCUGAAGGCUAAGAAUGAGGCUUGUCACUGAAGUCUUUUAAAAUGUCUGCUUUAUGUGCCAACCUAUUGUUGUGUUUCAGAGAGCUUCUCGCAAUGUUUGUUCUAAUGUCGUUGAAGAAACCAUUAGCUGUUUAUAAUAGUGUGGGUUUUAAACAACUGCAAAAAUUUUGUUAUGAAAAAUAUAGAAAAGAAGCUUAACAGAUUUAUUCUUUUUUCUCCUGUGCUGCUUGCCAAUAUGAUCAGAUGGGAUGAUAACUCCGGUUGAAGAAAAGGCCAGUGUUAUGCCUAAUUCGCUACACAUUUUCAACGCCAUAAGUGGGACUCCAACAAGCACAACAGUUCAUGGGAUGCCCAAUUCUUCUUCAGUUGCAUGAUUGUUUUGUAAAGGAAAGUCUGUUCUUUUUUUAAAGUAUGUGGAUUUGCUUCAUUGUGUGCAAACUCAGGAUGAUUUUGAAGCUAAAUGUUGGGCACGUGCAAGCUACGUAAUUCAUACGAAUGUCUGAGCACACUUAGCAAACAGCAAUUACAGGUAAUAGUCUUUUAGAGUAAGGGAGACACCACAUAUAUUUUUAAUCUUUCUGGCAACAUUUAGAAGUAUUCACAACGUCAUUGCAGAAGUACGUGUUGGAAACUAUAAAGUUGAAGUUAAUUUCUCCUUUUCAUUAGAAAGUAUUAUUAAAAUGAAUUGCACAAAAGUGUUGUGGGAUGUAACUUUGCAGAUAUGUAACAUUCAGGUGUUCUUUUUGUGUAGGCACAUAGAGAUUGAUUCCAAGUACAAGAACUAUUUUGGGGCCAGACAGAGACACUAGUUUUUUGGGUUUAAUGGAACUGACAAUAGUAGUUUUUGUACCAUUUGGCGAAUUGUUGUGCUUUAUUUUAUACCUUAUUGCAUUUUGGAGGUAUGUGAGCUUAGGUCUUAUUAAACAACUAAAUGCAACCAAAGGUCUGUAUUAAUGAACACUGAGUUAUACUAAAAUAUCAGUAGUAGUAAAUUGUUAUGUACAUAUUGUUUGUUAAUACAGUCCAUACAGUCUGUACAUAAAUGUAUUACAUUUCUAAGCAUUUUUAAUAUUCAUACCAGCUCUUCUCCUUCUGCUUUCAUUGUGAAAAUUUGUUCAUUCCAAGUAUAUGCAGACUUUACAGAUCAUUUAUUCCUGUAUAUAAAUAAGUGCAAUAUAAAGAUGUAUACAGUCUUUGCUAUGUUAGGUUUAUAUGCAGUUACUAAAAGAAAAAAUCUUUUUUGCCAAAGCAAUGGAGUAUGUAAUUGGUGAUCAUGGUUACUGUGGUAAAUGGUGGUAUAAUUUAAAGCUUUUUCCAUAUUCUUAUUCUUUUAAGACAUUAAUUUAGUAAUUUUAUAUUUGGGGAAAACAAAGGUUUUUAAUUUUAUUUAACUGGAAGCACUGUCCUGCUGUAAUUAAACAUUCUGUACUACAUCUAUAUUAAAAGGAAAAAAGUAGUUACUUUUC